Molecule: ribosomal RNA, 253 nt
Filed under: uncultured bacterium
Lineage: Bacteria
Description: partial 16S ribosomal RNA
Rfam family: Bacterial small subunit ribosomal RNA
Source: RNAcentral
GACAGAGGUCUCGAGCGUUAGGCGGAAUCACUGGGCUUAAAGCGUGUGUAGGCGGACUUGUAAGUACCUUGUGAAAUCCCCCGGCUCAACCGGGGAACGGCUGGGUAUACUGGCGGUCUUGAGCCAUCCAGGGGCAGUCGGAACAGACGGUGGAGCGGUGAAAUGCGUUGAUAUCCUAAGGAACACCGGUGGCGAAAGCGGCUCACUGGGUCUCUUCUGACGCUGAGGCACGAAAGCUAGGGUAGCGAACGGG